GUCUUAAUAGUUUAAAAAAAAAUUUUAAAUUGCAAGUUUAAAGAUAAUUAAAUAAAUUUUAAGAUU
RNAcentral lists this transfer RNA (66 nucleotides) under Dolichovespula xanthicincta. RNAcentral describes it as "tRNA-Cys". Lineage: Eukaryota; Metazoa; Arthropoda; Insecta; Hymenoptera; Vespidae. The record is from RNAcentral.